This 74-nucleotide transfer RNA is filed under the name Myxococcales bacterium. RNAcentral's name for it is "tRNA-Pro". It matches the Rfam family "tRNA". From Rfam's summary of the family: Transfer RNA (tRNA) molecules are approximately 80 nucleotides in length. Their secondary structure includes four short double-helical elements and three loops (D, anti-codon, and T loops). The record is from RNAcentral. Lineage: Bacteria; Pseudomonadati; Myxococcota; Myxococcia; Myxococcales.
CGGGGCGUGGCGCAACCUGGUAGCGCGUCGGUUUUGGGUACCGAAGGUCGCUGGUUCGAAUCCAGUCGCCCCGA